CGUGUCGCUCGGCCAGCACCAGGCCGUGGUGAUGACGGUGCCGGGGCAUACGCAGGGGCAUGUGGCGUUCCACUUCGCCGACGAUGCGG
This 89-nucleotide transfer RNA is filed under the name Sphingomonas dokdonensis. RNAcentral's name for it is "tRNA-Val". The record is from RNAcentral. Lineage: Bacteria; Pseudomonadati; Pseudomonadota; Alphaproteobacteria; Sphingomonadales; Sphingomonadaceae.